GAUGAAGAACGUAGCGAAAUGCGAUACGUAAUGUGAAUUGCAGAAUUCAGUGAAUCAUCGAAUCUUUGAACGCACAUUGCGCCCGCUGGAAUUCCAGCGGGCAUGCCUGUUCGAGCGUCAUUUCACCCCUCAAGCACAGCUUGGUGUUGGGACUCGCGUUAAUUCGCGUUCCCCAAAUUGAUUGGCGGUCACGUCGAGCUUCCAUAGCGUAGUAGUAAAACCCUCGUUACUGGUAAUCGUCGCGGCCACGCCGUUAAACCCCAACUUCUGAAUGUUGACCUCGGAUCAGGUAGGAAUACCCGCUGAACUUAAGCAUAUCAAUAAGCGGAGGA
RNAcentral lists this unclassified non-coding RNA (332 nucleotides) under soil metagenome. RNAcentral's name for it is "partial contains 5.8S ribosomal RNA, internal transcribed spacer 2, and large subunit ribosomal RNA". The stretch from base 1 to 120 matches the Rfam family "5.8S ribosomal RNA", at positions 35 to 154 of the family's 154-position model. The record is from RNAcentral.